RNAcentral lists this unclassified non-coding RNA (391 nucleotides) under soil metagenome. RNAcentral's name for it is "partial contains 5.8S ribosomal RNA, internal transcribed spacer 2, and large subunit ribosomal RNA". The stretch from base 1 to 122 matches the Rfam family "5.8S ribosomal RNA", at positions 35 to 154 of the family's 154-position model. The record is from RNAcentral.
GAUGAAGAACGUAGCGAAAUGCGAUACUUGGUGUGAAUUGCAGAAUCCCGUGAACCAUCGAGUCUUUGAACGCAAGUUGCGCCCGAAGCCAUUAGGCCGAGGGCACGCCUGCCUGGGCGUCACACGUCGUUGCCCCCCCAUCUACUCCUUCGGGAUUGCGGGGGGCGGAUGAUGGCCUCCCGUGCGCCUCGUCGCGCGGUUGGCAUAAAUGCCAAGUCCUCGGCGACACACGCCACGACAAUCGGUGGUUGCGAAACCUCGGUUGCCCGUCGUGUGCGGUCGUUGCGCAUCGAGGGCUCGAAAAAAUUGCCGGGCUCCGGCUCGGCUUUCAACGCGACCCCAGGUCAGGCGGGGUUACCCGCUGAAUUUAAGCAUAUCAAUAAGCGGAGGA